AGCAGUAGCCGCGGUAAUACGGAGGGUGCAAGCGUUAUCCGGAUUUAUUGGGUUUAAAGGGUCCGUAGGCGGAUCUGUAAGUCAGUGGUGAAAUCUCACAGCUUAACUGUGAAACUGCCAUUGAUACUGCAGGUCUUGAGUAAAUUUGAAGUGGCUGGAAUAAGUAGUGUAGCGGUGAAAUGCAUAGAUAUUACUUAGAACACCAAUUGCGAAGGCAGGUCACUAAGAUUUAACUGACGCUCAUGCACGAAAGCGUGGGGAGCAAACAGGAUUAGAUACCCCUGUAGUCCCUGUCUCUUAUAC
This 303-nucleotide ribosomal RNA is filed under the name uncultured bacterium. RNAcentral describes it as "partial 16S ribosomal RNA". It matches the Rfam family "Bacterial small subunit ribosomal RNA", at positions 507 to 807 of the family's 1533-position model. The record is from RNAcentral.